AAGGAAACACACAAGGACAAAUCAAGAAAAUUCAAUCAAACAAAAGUUCCACUUGUUAAAUCCAAGAUGUCUACCGCAAGCAUACAGCAAGUCGACAUACUAGAAGAACGACAAACCAAGGCUGAAGAAGCACCUAAAUUGCAGGUACAGGAUCAUCUGAGUGACGAUUGUGAAAGCCUGCAGAGCCAACAAGUCCAAGCUUCCGCUGAAAGUGCAAUCCUUAUAGAGACAGAUGAUCAAGACGACCACCAACUCA
This 256-nucleotide long non-coding RNA is filed under the name Linum usitatissimum (flax). RNAcentral's name for it is "long non-coding RNA (LUSI_LNC000609)". Lineage: Eukaryota; Viridiplantae; Streptophyta; Magnoliopsida; Malpighiales; Linaceae. The record is from RNAcentral.